GACGAACGCUGGCGGCGUGCUUAACACAUGCAAGUCGAACGGAAAGGCCCUGCUUUUGUGGGGUGCUCGAGUGGCGAACGGGUGAGUAACACGUGAGUAACCUGCCCUUGACUUUGGGAUAACUUCAGGAAACUGGGGCUAAUACCGGAUAGGAGCUCCUGCUGCAUGGUGGGGGUUGGAAAGUUUCGGCGGUUGGGGAUGGACUCGCGGCUUAUCAGCUUGUUGGUGGGGUAGUGGCUUACCAAGGCUUUGACGGGUAGCCGGCCUGAGAGGGUGAACGGCCACAUUGGGACUGAGAUACGGACCAGACGCCUACGGGAGGCAGCAGUGGGGAAUAUUGCACAAUGGGCGGAAGCCUGAUGCAGCAGCGCCGCGUGCGGGAUGACGGCCUUCGGGUUGUAAACCGCUUUCGCCUGUGACGAAGCGUGAGUGACGGUAAUGGGUAAAGAAGCACCGGCUAACUACGUG
This 468-nucleotide ribosomal RNA is filed under the name uncultured bacterium. RNAcentral's name for it is "partial 16S ribosomal RNA". It matches the Rfam family "Bacterial small subunit ribosomal RNA", at positions 28 to 507 of the family's 1533-position model. The record is from RNAcentral.